GUAGGUGGCAAGCGUUGUCCGGAAUUAUUGGGCGUAAAGCGCGCGCAGGCGGGUCCUUUAAGUCUGAUGUGAAAGCCCACGGGCUCAACCGUGGAGGGUCAUUGGAAACUGGGGGACUGGAGUACAGAAGAGGAAAGCGGAAUUCCAAGUGUAGCGGUGAAAUGCGUAGAGAUUUGGAGGAACACCAGUGGCGAAGGCGGCUUUCUGGUCUGUAACUGACGCUGAGGCGCGAAAGCGUGGGGAGCAAACAGGAUUAGAUACCCUGGUAGUCCACGCCGUAAACGAUGAGUGCUAAGUGUUAGGGGGUUUCCGCCCCUUAGUGCUGCAGCUAACGCAUUAAGCACUCCGCCUGGGGAGUACGGCCGCAAAGGCUG
RNAcentral lists this ribosomal RNA (374 nucleotides) under uncultured organism. RNAcentral's name for it is "partial 16S ribosomal RNA". It matches the Rfam family "Bacterial small subunit ribosomal RNA", at positions 527 to 896 of the family's 1533-position model. The record is from RNAcentral.